AAUGAUCCGUCCAUUGUUAAGUUAUCAACAGAAUCCAAUAAAAGUCCUCCACAUAAGCAAGCCCACACAAAAGUCAUAAAGUGUAAUACUCGAGCCUAAGGCCUAGGCCCACGAAUGGGCUAACUUUAGAGCUUCAAAUAGCAGCGUACAGGUAUGCCUCUUCUUUUCACCGAAAGUUGCUCCUUCCCGUCCGUUAUUCCUCAACUCUCAUCCUCGAAAUCUACUCUCACUUCCUCUACCAGUUAACUUCAUGCAGUUUUCUCACUUUCGCUUUCUCCUUACCACUGCUUCUUUUUUUUUGCUACAAUUUUUGGUGGAUUUUUUUAGUUUUGGCAUUUUCAAGAUCUGUUGAAUAGUGGUAAGAUCUUCUCACUCUCACACAAUACUUGCACCAUACUCUUUCUCUCUUUGUGGGUUUUCUCUAUUUCAAAAUCUUUUUUUUUUCUUGGUGUUCAUCUAUCCACCAGAAAAUCCUAGUAUUCGAUUUUAAGUAUAUUCAUCACUUAUUUUAGUUUUACUUAUUCUCAUCUUUGCUAAUUUUGCAUAGCCGUACGAUGUCCUCAUUUCUGCAAAUAUGGUAAUGGUCCUCUAUUAUCGUCUGAAUUUUUUAUCCGUCGAAGCGUGUAUUACUUACUUUUUAAUGCCGUUUCUAAGACUAUAGAUCUGUGUUCUAGUGCAUUUUUUUCAACACCCUAGACAACUGCAGGCUGUUUUAAUUUCACUCACGCGAAAUACUAGUAUGGUAACCUGAGUACCCUUUUUGCAAUUUUAUUUAUAUAAUUCAAAUUGGUGGUUUAUGAAUGCUGGAAAAAUUGGACGGUUUAUAAUUGAACUUCAGAGUUAUGUAAUAUGUUGAGUAGUUGGCUAUGAAGUUUGGGUGGUAGAUUGUUGGGUUGAAAUGAAGUUGUUUGUGUUAAUAGGUGGAUGUUUGGGUUGAUGAAUAUGAUUGUGUGGACUGUUUCAGGUGGCUAUUUGGACUAGUUAUUGUGGGGUUGUUUAUGGAUGGCUAGAUUUAUUUUAUGAUUAUUAUCGAGUUGAUCAUUUCGGGCUGGUUGUAGUUGAACUAUUGCAACUUGUGUGGAUGCUUGGGACUAAGUUAUUUGUUAAGGUUUAUUAAAUAAGCUGGUGGUAUGUUUGUUUGGGUUGAGAAUUGAUGUGGUGAACGUUAUUUGCUUUAGGUUGUGAUAUUGUUAAAGGUCAGACUUAGCGCUAAGAUUACACGUUGCAAAAGUUGAGGUAAGUAAGAUUUAUAUACAAGACUUUGCAUAGAAAAGAAAAAUGAAACAAAGUUGACUUUUAAAAUAUACAUAUUUUUUUUUAAAGAAAUCUGAAAAAGCAAUCUCAAUUAUUUGUUUCGACAUUACUCAUGAACUCGAUAUAAAGGAGAAAAUACUUUUAUCAUGAAUGGUGUAGACAUGAGCUUAUUUUUGCAUAUUAUUUCUGAAUUUUGCAAAAGGAACGAAAACAAGAUUAUUAAAGUUUUGUUAUGGUUAAGGUGAAAAUAUUUUGAUUUUGUUCUGUUAAAUAUAUGAAAUAAUCUGAAGCGACUUAGUAUUUUGUUCUGAUAUGAUGUGUAAGCUUAAAAACUUUGGCAUGAGUUUUUGAUUUUGCAUCUGAAUAUGAUCUAUUUUCAGUGAUGUCUGUUUUUUUUCUGUUGAGGCUCCACCAUGGGUAUAAUAGUGGCAUACGGCCCCCCAUGAGUAUAAUAGUGGCAUACGAUCUUGUCGUGGAUAUAAUAGUAGCAUACGGCUUAGCCACAAGUAUAAUGAUGGUUUAUAGCCCGACCACAGGAGUAAAACAUGGUAUACGGCCCAGUCACGGGUAUAAUGGUGGUUUAUAACCUUACCACGAGGUGAAAUAUGGUAUGCAACCCAGCUACGAGUAUAAUGGUGGUUUAUAACCCUACCAAUAGGGUUAAAUAUGGUAUGUGUCUCGAUAUGAUACCUCGAUGCAAUAUGAAGAUGAUGUUUUAGUUUACGAUGUGCCAACAAAUUUAUUUUUAGAAUAAGAAAGUUUUACUAAAAGAAAAAUAAGUUUUACUAAAAACUUAGCUAUGUUAUUUGUAAUAUGUUUUAUUCGUGUAUCCUGAAAGUAAACUGUUUAUAAUUAUGCAUUUUGAAAGUAAAAGUUUUGUUAUGCAUUCUGAUAUUUGUAAAUGCUCAUAUUUGCAUAUUAAUAUAGUUUCUUUGCUUACUGAGUUGUUGAUAAUUCAACCCUUAUCUCCAUAAUAUUUUUCAGAUGAUUUUGAUGAUACAAUUAAGGAUCAAUAAUAGAGUUUGUGGUAUGAAUAGUCGAGGGUUGUGGUUGAGUACCUUGGAGUACUAGUGCUGUUGGAAUAUUUAUUUAUUAAUUAAUUUGAUUUCAAUAUAUUUUGAUGAUUAUGAAGACUUAUGUAUUAAUUUAGUUCAUUAUGUUAAUAAAGACAUGUGGAGAAGUUGAUUUUUUCUA
Molecule: long non-coding RNA, 2448 nt
Organism: Carya illinoinensis
Lineage: Eukaryota; Viridiplantae; Streptophyta; Magnoliopsida; Fagales; Juglandaceae
Exons: 2
Source: RefSeq, a predicted model, not a curated record